AAUCAAUAUGCUGCUUUCCGUAAUAACUUUUUAACUCUUACGGAAAAACAACAUAUUGGUUGCGCGGACUUCCGUCGCGCCGCAAGCAUUACCGCGUCCUGUGUGCAGGAGCUAUACGAGUCGCCACCGUCCUCAGAGAGGAAUCGAGCAUGUAGUAUGACUCAACGUUGUAAAAAUAUACGUGUACAUACACGUACUCACACAUCGCACGAGCGUGCGGAACAUUACCCACACAUAUACUUGCGUGCAUAUUGCGCACGGUACGCGGAUUGACAGCUGCCAGCACGAGAAGCAGAAGUGGCGGAUCAUGUAAGGAUAUUCAUCGUGUCAACGAAACAACUUGCCAUCCCAGGUGCGGUUACACUGCCAAGGAUACACUAGACAGUUGGCAGAAUAGGUAGACGCAGGAACAGUGCUGAGAGAAGGAGUGGGCGACCCAAAGGCGUAAUGACACGUCCUCCCAACAAUGACAAUCUUAUGACCUUUAAGUUGGUCGUCGUUGGAGAUGGAGGAGUCGGCAAGAGUGCCCUUACUAUACAGUUCUUUCAGAAACUGUUUGUCGCAGACUAUGAUCCGACCAUUGAGGAUAGUUAUAUUCAACACACGGAAGUGGAUGAGCAGUGGUGCAUCUUGGAUGUGUUGGAUACUGCUGGCCAAGAGGAAUUUAGUGCCAUGCGCGAACAGUACAUGCGGAAAGGCGACGGAUUCCUUUUGGUAUAUUCAGUGACUGACAAACAGUCGUAUCAAAAUAUCGUCAAUUUUUAUACUCAAAUCCUGCGGGUGAAGGACAGGGACGUAUAUCCCAUGCUCUUGGUCGCCAACAAAGUCGACCUGGUGCACUUGAGGAAAGUCACAGAAGAACAAGGGAGAGAAUUGGCUCAUCGUUUGGGCAUAUCUUAUAUCGAAACCUCUGCCAAAGAUCCACCACUGAACGUGGACGCCGCGUUUCACGAGGUUGUUCGCAUUAUCAGGAACCAACCGCCAAAUGAAUUGGAGAAGAAUCAAAGGAAACGACGGCGCUCGAGAAAGUGCAAUAUUUUGUAAGUCCCGCGGAAGAACGGAAGACAUACGUGUAACUCACAUGCAAGAAUCAAGGGCAACGGUGUUACCGAGUUGUAGUCGCGCGACGUCUCUGCUACUUUCUCGAGAAUACGUCCUUGUCGCAUCGUUAAAUUCGGGAGGUCCUUGGGAAAGAAAUGAUUCUGCUCUCCUCCAGUAUAUAUAGAGAAGCGAAGUUUAUAAUGAGGGAGUACUGUAAUGAACGAAACAGAUGAGGCAACCGGAGGAGGCAAUGUCGGGCGAAUAUAGUGGGCGAGGCAAAACAUCCCAGCCGAACUCUAACAAUUUUUACGGAAGCAAAAAAGCACAAUGCACCGGGAAACUCAUUACUGCCUUCCAUUUUCAAGCCGCAACAAAGGCAACCGUACUUCUUUAAACGCAAUCGUUUAUACCAUAAAAUGUGUAUCCGAAAUGUCAGUUACCAAAGCAUAUGCAUAGAUGGCCAAUUAUACACUAACUAUCCUUUUGGUAUGAAUAUGCGAAUGCUAACUAGACAAAAAUCCGUACGAACCGACGCAUCAACCCGAUACAUUCGACGAAUUCGUAUCCGGGAAAAUAAAAUGAUCGAAAAACGGGGCAAUAUAUCGCCUUUGCUACCAGUUAUUUACUUUUGUAUACAUAGAGGUCUGGUGUAGGAAACAUACGUAUCACGUUGAUAGGCUGUCUUCGGUUUAUAACGAAGACAAAAAUAAGCAACGUGAACACGCGACUGCAUGUUUUCGUGACCGUCGUCAAUUUUGCAUUAAGGGACACUUUGUAUUAAGUAUAUAAUUUUUUUUUUCGUUCGUUGUUGUUAUUUAUUAGGAUAAUUCUGAUGCCAAAUAAUUGAUGGCAGUUUAUCAAAUAUAUGAACUUGCGUCAGAAGCUUCCGUACUUGCUCAGUCAGAGAAAUAAAUUGAAUUAAUUUUUUAUUAAAUUCCAGUUAUUUCUUUACUCACAUUGUGAGAGAUCGAGAACACUAAGAAGUAUUAUAUCCGAUCUAUAUGUUGAUUUGUUAUUGCUAUUUGGCAUUGAGUUGUUUAUUUACAUAUAUAUAUAUAUAUAUAUAUAUAUAUGUAUGUAUCUUUCAU
Molecule: RNA transcript, 2129 nt
Organism: Odontomachus brunneus
Lineage: Eukaryota; Metazoa; Arthropoda; Insecta; Hymenoptera; Formicidae
Gene name: ras-related protein M-Ras-like
Exons: 6
Source: RefSeq, a predicted model, not a curated record